This 19227-nucleotide long non-coding RNA is filed under the name Panax ginseng (ginseng). Its description in RNAcentral is "long non-coding RNA (PGIN_LNC018064)". Lineage: Eukaryota; Viridiplantae; Streptophyta; Magnoliopsida; Apiales; Araliaceae. The record is from RNAcentral.
UUUAUAGUAAAGGGGUGAAAGGGGUUAGUGGUGAGAGAAACUCUAGGGUUUCGAGUUUGGGGCGGCCGCCUCAGAUCUUCUUCAUCUUCAAGUCGUUUGCCGCCUCACUUCUUCUUCAUCUUCUAAGUCGCUUGUCUACGCUGAACGGAGUAAAUCUUGUGAGUUCUUUGUGUGGUUCCAUUUGUUCUUUCCCCUCUCGUAUUAAUUGUUUGUAGUUUGCAAGAUAUUAAUGUCUUCUAGAAAUUUGUCUCUUCUUUGUAUAAGAUUUUUAAGCAUCCUCAUAUUGGUUCAAUUCAAAUGGCAAUUAUUUACCGAUUUUCAUUUAAGGAAUUGUACUUCAUCGCAUAGUAGUUCAACCUUCCUUUAUAUUAUUGAUGUUUUCACAAUUACAUAUAUACUAUUUUAUGGAGAAAUUGGAAUGAGCGUAAUUUUAGAUUCUUUGGAGAAAAUUGCUCAUCUUUUAAGCUGUUGAGUGAUAGGAUUAUUUUCCUUGUAUCUUUUUGGGGUUCUUCUAUGGGGGUCUUUAGAGGUAUCUACUGAUGUGUGAAGAGAUCGAAGGAUUGCACUUUUUUAAAUGUUUUUUUUAGUCCAUUGAGGGUGUAUUUUUCGUUCCCCUUUUAUUGCAUCAUUUCUUCUCUAUUAAUAAAAUUUAUUCUUUUAUCAAAAAAAAAAAAUCACACCUCACAAAUUUGGGUGUUUUUUUAAUAUAUGUUUUUUUACAAUUAUGCAAGGGAAAUAGUGAUUUUAAGUGUUUAAAUUGAUCAAGAAAAUAAUAUUUUGUGUUUUAUCUUCGCAGAAUCUCAGCGAGAUGAUGAUCAUCUCAGAGGUAUCAUCAGUAGUUUCAUUCCAGUUAACACAAGGCAAUUUUGGUAAUGUGUUUGGUAAUGAUAUUAUUUGAUGUAUCAUAAAAUUUAUUUACUCCUAUUUGUUUCAAAAAUACUAAUCGUUACAGACUCUUCUCAAUCCAUUAAUGUUAUACUUUGGUAUUUUUUUGGGUACAAUUGGUAUAGCAUGCAAUUAUUUGAUGAUUUUUUUCAAAAUGUAAUAUGACUUCACUAGUAUUUGUAAUUACUAAAGUUUGAUGCAUAUUUUUUUUCUAGGAAGGAGCUCUGGCCAGGGGUGGAUCUAGAUUUUUUUUUUUCAGUUAUGGCAAUAUAAUUUUAUCUAAAAAAUUAUCGCGAAUACAUUAAAAAUAAAACUAUAUAUAUUAGGUAAAAGGUUUCUACGGUUGACCUAAUAUAAUUUCAAAUAGAACGUAAUUUUGAUUUUCACUGAACAAUUCAAUUGUAAGAAUGCAAAAAGCAUGCAAAAAUAUAAGAACAUGCAAUUUUUUAUAUAAUUCAAAUGACUUUAUAUUAUUUAUUAAUAUUAAAUAAAUCAUGUUGCAUAAAAUAAUUUAUCAAUAUUGCAUAAAUUUUCACUUAUUUUCAAUUACAUAUAAUAUAGAGAUAUAUAUUACAAGGAAAUAAAUAUUAUUGCAAAGUGUAGAUAAAAGAAAAUAAACAUGAUUCCUAGCUUAAUAGAAUUUAUUUUUUAGGUGUUUCUUUUUCUUUUUUUGAAACAGUCCAACAAAUAUAUUCUAGGUGAUUGAUUUCAAUAUUUAAGAUUUCUUAAAUCAUGCAGGGAAUGAGUUUUAAAGUUAAUUCAAUCAAUAUUUAACAUACCAUACAUAUGGAAAAAAAAUAUUUUAACUAUUUAUUUUUGGAAUAAUAUGUAUACUAUAUAAUUUAUUUCCCCCCCUAAAAUCUAGUUAUGGCAAUUGCCACAGCCGGCUCCAAAGCAGAUCCGCCCCUGGCUAUAGCUCAAAUUGUACUUCAGUGGAGGCAUUCUUUGCUAGCCUUAGUGGAGGCACUAUUCUAUGAGUGUGGUCUUAUUUAUGGCCGUAGUUAUAGCCCAAGUCGAAGCACUAUUAUAUAUCUACUAUGGCCUUUCCUUGUAGGGUUUGAGGUUUUGGUUCUGUGUCCCCUUCUACCCAUUGUCAUAAUAUAAAAAGAAAUGUAUAUAUAUGUUGUGGAGGUAAUUUGAUUAUAUUUGCAUAGUAUUCAUUUUUUAAUGUCAUCUUAGCAAUUUGAUACGACGAGAACUUUUAAUAUUAAAAUUAAUGACCAUCUUAUCAUUUGACUUAUUGCUGUUAGACAAUUACUGUACUGUUCUGCUAUCUGAUUGUGUCCUUGUCCCCAUAUUAAAAUAUUGGGUAAAAAUGUAAUUCACCACCUGUGGUUUACACACUUCUGCAAAUCACCACCUAAAAACCACCACUUAAUCACCUGUGGUUUGAAAAAAAGUGCAACAGUUAAUUUUUCCAUCCAGUUUAUGGAGAGUGAACUUUUAGCAAGUGGAUGAGCUGUCCAACAACUAGAUUCCCUAUGCAAAUGGCAAAAAUGUCCUCCUUAACCCAUAUUUAAGAUGCAAGUAGUUCACUUAUUUUUUUUCUUCUUCUCAUAUUCACCAAUUUUCUAUUAAAUUAUGUACAAAAAUACAUCCUAUAAAGUUUUUGGAGUGUCUAAUUGAUUAGUAUGUAUUUGGAUAAAAAAAUUAUAACCAAGAUAUAUAUAUAUAUAUAUAUAUAUAUAUAUAUAUANNNNNNNNNNNNNNNNNNNNNNNNNNNNNNNNNNNNNNNNNNNNNNNNNNNNNNNNNNNNNNNNNNNNNNNNNNNNNNNNNNNNNNNNNNNNNNNNNNNNAUUAAAAAAUAUGAUGUUAAAAAAUUAAUAAAUAAAAAAUCUAUUAAAAGUAAAAAUAUGGUAAAUAUAAGAUGUAAACUAUAAAAAAAAUAACUAAUUUUGUUAUUCAUAAGAUUGAACAAUUACAAAAAUACAUCAAAAUGUUAAUUUAUCUUCACGGACCUCUUGUUAUUCAAUUAUAUUAACAUUUUAAGUAGCUUCAUUUUUUAAUAAAUUUAAUUGAUUUUACUAGCAAAAGGUUAAUAGGGUUUACCAGUGAGAUACAAUGUUUAAGUUGGAAUGCUUACACACACAAUAUGUGCAUUAAGACUAAUAACAAUAAAGCUUAUGCAUCUUCUCACUUCAGUGGAAAUUAGACUAUUUAAACCAUUUCUUCUUCCUUGCUCCAUAAGGUUGGGCUUUGUUCUACAUUGAUGGCUGUACUAUCAGCUGGGAAUGGAGUGGCCUAAAGAAAGACUCCUUUUCUCCCCGAUACCCUUCCUUCGGCAUCCCUGAAAAGGGCAUCUCUUUCAGCACCUGAACCUCUUGGUGGGGGAGCUGCCGGAACAAAAGAAUUUUCUAUUCAAAAAAAAGAAAUAUCGGACAAGAUCGUAGAAAAGGUAGUGGCUGAUCUUUCCCGAACCCAACUCCAUCACCUCUUUGGACAGUGGCCUUUGCUUAUUCCCCUCAUCUUAGGUUUUCGAAUGAAUGGGAAAUUACGUCGUUCUUUGAUUUGCAGAAUAAGUCGAGACACAAGGCAAGGGUAAGGUUCUAUUAGUUUUAAAGUAUAUAGAGACAAAAAUGUUUUGUCCAAACAUUACUGUUUCUUCUCCUCCCAAUAAUUUAGAAAAUCAAUCAACUGUCUUACAAGCCUCAAUCUACUAUAUAUAUAUAUAUAUAAUAUGACUAAUAUUACUAAAAUAUUCUAUAUGUCCACGUGACUUUUUCGUCAUUUAGUUUAAACAAUUCAAUAAUGUGUUUUAUAAGGUACAAUUAGAAAUGUAAAACUCAACAAAAUGAGAUUUUGAUAUAAUUAUACUUUUUUUAAAAAUAUUUUUAAAAAUAUAAUUAUACUUUUUAACAAGUCGUGAUAUAAUUAUACUUUUUUUAAAAAUAUUUUUCCAACUAAAAAUAAAGAAAAGAUAUGAGUAGAAAAAAAUUGAUGUAAAAUAAAUAAUGUGAUAUCCGGAAUAUUCUUAAGGAUUGUAAUUACGAUCUUAAAAGAUUUAAUAAAGGUUGAUUUAGUGACCUAAUCCAUGUGUUAUGCGAGGGAAUCAAGCGGCGUUAAUUCGUGGAAGAAAAAUAUUUUUUUCAAAAAAGCGAAGAAAACACUUUUCGCAUUUACGACAUUUCGUAUUACGCCAUAGUAUUUAUACGGGGUAUAAAUACACAAUUUCUAUUUAAAAGUACGAAAAGUCAAAGUCAACAUUUUGACUAAUCGGAUGAGUUACGAAAGCUAACAACAAAUCGAACUAGAAGCAAACUAAGUUGGAUUUGGACCAAGGGGAAGGGGGCCCAGAUUUGGCAAGGUUGGGAGGGCCUUUUGGCCAUAUAGGAAGAUUGCAAUACUUGCCUAGCUUGUAAGUAUUGUAUCUUGUUUAGCUUGAGUGUUGUUAAGCUUUGCUUGGUGAGUUGUGGCUCUUUGCUAGCUAUGGGAUUGCAUGGCCUUGUUGGACAACUUUGUAUGGGUUAGCUAGUUAGGUUAAGCUUGGUAGAUGAUUGGUGAGAUGUGGCCUUGUGUGAGCCUAAGGUUGAUUAGGGAGAUGUGGCCUUAUGUGAGCCUAAGGUUGCUUGGUGAGAUGUUUUCUAUAAAUAUAACCCUCAAUUCUUCCUUAAUCUUGUUCAAUAAAAUAAGAAGCUUGAGAGAGAAUACCAUAGUAAGAACAAUUAUAAUUGAGAGAGGGAAAUCAAGAGGCUUGGUUAUUCAAGAAUUCAUAAAGCUAACACUUCAAGAGCUAAACCUAGAAUUCAUUUAUUUCGUAUGUUAGUUCGUUCAUAAUUUUUUAUGAUAGAACUUAUGAACGUAUGCAUGUUAGGGUUAUGAUUAUAUGUGUUAGAGUUAGUAAGUCAUAAAGCAUAAUAAACUAAGUAAUGCUUUAGACAACUAAUUGAAUUAAGUUGUAGCAAGUUAAACAUGAAGCUAUAAAAACUUGUUUUUAGUAGUUUUUACAAGAGGUGUGCAGCCUCAUAUGCUUAGAUUUAGUCAUGAAAUUAAUAGCCAAGUCGUAGAGAGAAGUUAUGAACGCGUAGGAAAAAGAAUCACCCAAAAAUACCUAGUAGUUUGAAAGUUAUGCAUGUUUGAAAUAGGUAGGUUGAAACUACCAAAACUGGAAAAAAUGAAAUUUCGAAACUGCUAAGGAAGCGCUGCGGCACUGGGUAGACAGUGGGCGCAGGCGAGCGCUGGCUGCACGUUGGGCUGGCUGUGAAGCGCCGAGUGGCGUUGUGCAUGUCGGGGCGUGCUGCGUAGUACUUGGGCGAUUCCUUAGGGUGUCUAGGCACUAUAUUUUUGUUCGAGUUUUCCAAAGCCUAUUUUGUUAAGUUUAGGUAAUCGGACAUUGUAAAUGAUAAGUAUUGAAAUAAAAUUCAUACUUAAAGCUAAUUAAAGUGAACUAAGAAUGUAGAGUUAUGUUGUGACUGAUUAUAUGUCGACCUCAUCAAAUUAUGUAGGCCGAGCAAAUGACGCAAAAUUAGUGUAAACGUAAGAGACGGAAUCAGGCAGUCUUCUACUCUUUUGCACUUUGUGCAACAAUGUGUUUUAAUCAUUUGAUCUGUGAAGUUCAUUGUAUUAGGUGAAAUGAUUUAUGGAAAGGAGUUAUUUGUCAUUGAUUCGACUUAACUCAAUUUGUGAGCUAUUCUAGUCGGAAUGUUUAUUGUUGAGAUAUUGAAUUGUUAUAAUUCUUUAUUUGUGAUAAGUUGAUUGUGCCAAACCAAAUUGUUUUGGGGCAGAAUCUGAAUGUUAGUAACUGAGUUGAACAACCCUUGUAUUAAGGGGAUGUAUGACAUGCCGGCUAACCGGAUUCUAUACUGUGAAUACAAAUUUAGCACUAUUACAAAUUUAGCACGAUUAGUGUUUAAUUAUCGGGCAGUGUUCUAAAAGUCGCUAGUCGGUCCCAUGUCGGUUGGCUACCGACUAGCGACUAGGGGAUUAAUCAGCUAGUCGGAUUUUCAAUUUUUAAAAAAAUAUAUAUUCUCCUUCCUCAUUCAUAAGUUUUGAGCAAGUAGAAUAACAUAAGUAACACAAAUCAUCAAAUAAAAACAUGAAAACUAAGUAAAACCAAAUAGUUUGAUGCUCUAACGGUCAGAUUUCUAAUAAUUUAAUUUAUAACUGAAGUCAGAUUUUAAUAAUUUAAUUUAUAACUGAAGUUGAAAAAAUUUAAAAUUUAAAAUGAAAUAUAAUAAUUAACUAAAUUAAUUUAUCCAACCUUUUCUUUAAUGCCCACUAAGGAACUAAUUAAGCCUUGUAUCAGUCUUCAGUUGACAAACUGUCGACAAACUAGAGAUGAAGAAGAGCAGCUGACGAAAAAAAAUAGAGAAACUGAGAGAGAGAGAGAGACGAGCCGGAGAAGAAGGCCGAUGAUGAUGAAGAUGAAGAGCAGCAGUCGAGCACUCGUCGUCGUCGGUAGUCUUCGUCUUCGUCAGCGGCAGUCGUCGUCUGCUACACAGUCGACGUCGGUCGGCAGUCGUCGUCGGCAGUCAGUAGCAGUCGUCGUCGAAGCAGUCCAGUCGGUAGCAGUCGUCGUCGGCAACAACAGUCGAAGAAGGAGAAGCAACCGCAGUAGCAGUCGGCGCUAGAAGAAGAAGAAGCAGCAGUCGUCGCCGACUUGAUAUGUUCCAUUUGUUCCGAUUUGCUCCGACUUUACCGACUAGUCGUCGACUUGAGUCCGACUAAGUCGGCCAGCGACUAAAUCAAAGGACUAGGACUUGAUUGACUCGGCGAGCCUCCGACUUCGACCUAGUCCGACUUUUAGAACACUGGUAUCGGGAAACCGAUACACACUGAUGUCACUUUUGUAGCAGUAUUGAUGAACCGUGGACGAGAUUUAUUAUUAGUUCUUGGUUUAACCACUCAGUUUACUAUUAUGAACCACUGUUAUAUCUUUUGUUGUUAAACUUCUAUUCUUUGUACUAGAAUAGAUAUGAAUUCUUUAGACUUGCUGAGCUAUCUUAUGCUCAUUCUUGCAAAUAUUCUUAAUUUGCAGUUAAGGAAGGAAUACCAGAACAAUCUGGCAUUAAAAACGAGAAAGUGAAAGAAUAGUAGUUACGUCAAGAUAGAUAUAAUUAUUGUUGUCUUUUGAUGUAAUAGAACGUAAGUUGUAAUGACGUUGAAAUAUGUAUAAAAGAGAAUUAUUAAGGAAAACAUAGUGUUAUGUCCUUUUUGGAAAUGUAUUAUAUUAGGUACUUUACAUUUGAAGUUGAUGGAUGUAUCGAUUGAAAUAAUUGGAGUUAGUUCUUAUUGAAUGUUAAGGUUGUAUGAGCGUUCUUGAAUUCAUACUUAUGGUAGGUUUAUGACUCAUAGUAGUGUGGUAAGUUUUUGAACCCACAGUCAUAUGAUAAGUUUCUGAUUUGUUUUUGAACUCAUAUUACUAUGGGAGUUCUUAAACUCAUAUUAUUGUGGUAAGUUCCUGAACUCAUAACGUAUGGUAAGUUCUAUGAACGAUGAUUAUAGUAUAUUAUCAGACAAUUAACAUUAUUGACAAUGUUUAGAAAAUUCUAACGAGUAAAGAGGUUAUCUAAUUGAGUGUCGUUUUUAACGAAAGGCCCCAUCUUUUCUAAAAAUGACUUGGUUGUCAUUAUUGUGAGUUUAUAAUAUCUAUACUCAGAAGGAUUUAGUGUUGGAAGUAAGGUGCUAUCCAUAGAAUGGAUGUGAGUCACAUGUUGGGAUAAGGUAAAGACCAAGUUGCGAUCCAGAGUUGAAGAUAGAGAAAUUGAUGUUAGUGUGUAAUGGACUAAGUUAAACCAGAAAGAUAAUGGUUAGUCAACACCAUCUCCACCGUAAAGAGCAGACGGAUUUGGGGGCGUGAGAAAUACAUACAUAUAUAUAUAUAUUGUCUUUAAUUAAGAUGGGGAUCAUAUUUUAGUAAAAAAAUAACUAUAGUAAUGAAUCAUUAAAGAUUAAAUAUUAUUUAUGUUGAUUUGUGUUACAAAUGAAUCAAGAUUGACUAAGAUGAUUGAAGAUUUUCUUAGUUUGAUUUUAGAAGCUAGUUGGUGAAAAUUGAGAAAAAAAAACAAGAUAAAUAACAAAUGAGGUGGUUAUAUGCAAAGUAAGAGUUAAGAAGGGCAUUUUAGUACUUGUUCUUUUAAUGGUGUUAACACUAAAGUGAGACUUUGCAAAUUUUUUAAGCCACAGGUGGCUAAGUGGUGGUUUUUUAACCACAGGUGAUGAUUUACACAAAAUGUGUAAAUCACAGGUGGGCAAAUUACAUUUUACCCUAAAAUAUUUGUUUCACAGAGUUGUACUCAUAUAGUCCUUUUUCUAUUUUUACAAUUCGCAUAAGAGUCCUUUAAGAUCAUUUAACCUUAUUUUACCUGAGAUUUCACUUGGACCAUAUUGUUUCAGAUACAUUUCCAUUGUCUAUCUUUACUACUCGCGUGCUCUCUCCAAGCCCAUGUCCAGGUAGUUCUGAGCCAAAAAAGAUUAAAUGAUUGGUUCAGAUGAUUGAGGAUUUUGGUGGAAGUUUAUGAAAAAGAAUCUAUCGAGAUUCAGAAGAAGAUUGAUCGAGUUAGGAGCUUGAGGAAAUGACUAGAUAAUAUUUCAUGUUACUAUAUGUCACUAAGUCAGUCUAGGAGCUGAAACCAUCUACCAAAUAAAGGAGCUGCAUUAUCUGGGAUAGUUCUUCUUUUUCAACCUUGUUACAUAAUGUUAUGGAUAAUUUGUGGUGAAAAUAUUGAAUUAAAUGGAUGUAAGGACAGUUGUAUGCAAACUGCAGUAGGUCUAGGUGAUAAGAUCCCAUCUGGGAUUGUGAUCUAAUUUCUUUCUCUUUUCUUUUUUUUGGUGUGGCCUGGGGAAAGCGGGGGAGCAGGGGGUGGUGAGGAAAGCAUUGGGCUGGAGUGAGGUAAUUUGGCAUUUUACAACAGGGAGUCUCGAAAACCUUUUUCAGAUAAAUAUGUAAUUUCGUACGUUACUUUCUUAUUUAGAGUUCUUUCAGAAAGAGUUUCUUUCUUUCCUUUCUUUUAAAAUCUAUUAAAAGAAUAGAAAUGGCAUAAUUUUGGUAGGUCUAUUUUUUGUGUUUAGACAAGGUGUACUAGCACUCAACUUGUAAAAUCUAUUUGAAAUUAUCAUAUUUUUCAUAAUCUGAAGCUACUCAUAUACUAAAAAAAUGAAGAGCAGUAAACAAGUUCAGAAAAACCUCAAAUAAUGAUGUCUUUUAACCUAAAAAAUCAAUUACCUGGAUCAUGGAACAACUGAAAUAUUUCUGCAUGUCAGUGAUGCGAACAUCAUUUUGAUGGAGAUGUCUAUAAAGUUGUAUUAUAUCAUGUUCACCAUGCAAGCCCGAUGAUAUGCAGUAUUGACAUGCUGAUGUGUCACAAGUGAUGCAAUAAUGGUUGCAUCGGUUCUUGCUGCGCUCAUGAGCUAUACAACGAUCGAAGAAAGUCCGUUGUAGGAAAUUUUCGAGCCAUUCUGGUUUUUCAAUCUGAGGUCGUACUAUUUGUGCAACCUACAAGAAAUAAUACAUUCCCUUUAUUAACAUUUAUUAUUAUUGAGGUACUGUAAAUCUCAAAGACUUAGGUGAAGAUAUUUAAUUUUUUUGCAUCCAUGAACUUCUUUCUCUUAAUCAUCAUAUGGUUUUCUCAGUUUGAGAAACUAUGGAAUUGUAAAUCAAGACUAGGAAAUGAGUGUGAGUAUUUGCAAGGAAAAGCUAGUGUCUAAACAAGAGUAAGUUUAAUGAUGUAUAACGAACCUGUUCUAUGGAAGGAAAUUUGCAUUAAGACUUAAGCAUAGGUGUGAAAGAAUCAUAUAUUCAGUUACUUACCUAAUUAAUAUUUAUAUUUAAAAGGAUUGACCUUGUGAGCAAGAUGAAGUUGACCUGAGCAGUCCGUAUGCUCAACUGAAGUAAUUGAUUUUCCAAUAAUCUAUUGCAAGUCCUAGAGAACAUUUAAGAAUUCUUCAUCUUCCCUCGAUUUAAUUUCACUUAUAUUUGCAAAAGGUAAUGUAUCAGUCCUAAUUCAACCUUCUUUCUCUCAGGUGAGGUAUGUGAAAUGUUACAAGUUUACAAUGACAACUUGGUUAAUGAAGAAGAGUUGUUCCUCAUGGACCGCUGAACAAGUUUACAUAGAUGAUGGAGCUUCCUCAGCCUGUACAGAGGGACAAACACAUUUCAAAUAUUAUCCUCAAUGGAAGGUACGCAUACACCUUUCUCUGGAACAUUCCUUUUGUUCAUAACCAGAGAAUGAUCUGCGAUUGUGACAAACUGAUGCACUUUGAAGUUGGAUAUUAAUCCGUUCUAGGGUAUUAGUUUUAGCUUUGGUCAUACACGCCUUAUUUUUAUUUUGUCUAAUGAAUUGUUCAGAAAAAGAAAUUAUAAUAACAUGUUUUGAGCGUUUGAGUAUGUAAAAAUUGUUAAAGGCGUGAGUGGUUGCAUUAUGGAUGUGGAUUUGAAGAUUACUGAUCCGAUUAUAUAUAUGUGUGUGUGCGUAAGUUGCUGGAGUAUGAUAUUUGCUAAAUGAUUUUAAAAAGCUGAUGUAAAGUUAUAAACAUAAAAUAACUUCAAAGAUAAGAAGAGACUUGCUAUUUGACUAACAAGGUAGAUCAAUAAUACAUCUGAAAUAGAUUAAUGGUUUCAGAUGUAUGUAAUCAAAUCUCUUCUGGCCAUUUGAAGAGAUUAUAGAUGAAAGCCAGGUGUUGGAAUGAAUAGAAACAGUGAUUUAGAUUAUCUGGAAUUUGGAUUAAGAAACUAAUGUAAUGUGCAAUAAUAGUAUCAACUCAGGAUCAUGAGAUAGUGGGAAAGGGGAGACUGCUGUUCUAUAACAAAACUUGUGCUUUAAUGAAGAAGUCAAAAUUGUAAUAAGAAUAAUAAUAAGAAAAAACUGGUUUAUAUACAUGGCAAAAAGUUGACAUGGAACAUAAAAAUAAAAUUAAAGAGUACAAGGAAGCUAGACACAAUGAAGGUGUAGAAAUAUGUAAAAGCGCAAAGAAAGACUUCAAAAAAGAACAAAGGGGAAAGAAUUGUAUAUAAACCUUCUACACUUGUUGAAAUAUCUGUUAUAGGAAAGGCUAUGGGAUUGAAUCUGCUAAUUCUACAGCAGUUAGUGAGUAGGGGAGUGUAUUGGAGGACCUCUGGGCUCUUUCAAUCGGUGUAAAUGAAGGAAAUUUUGGGCACUAUGUGGAUUGUAAACAAUGCUGUUUUUCUAAUGCAAUUUAAGCGCCCAAUAUUAUUGCUGGGUAGAUAUGUGUGUUUUCUUUAGUGUAUGUGUNNNNNNNNNNNNNNNNNNNNNNNNNNNNNNNNNNNNNNNNNNNNNNNNNNNNNNNNNNNNNNNNNNNNNNNNNNNNNNNNNNNNNNNNNNNNNNNNNNNNUGGUACUCAUUUGCUCAUGUGUUUAAAAUGGAGAGAGGAAUACACUGUGUUUUGAAGGUGGAAAGUUUUGCUUGCACAAUGAUGUUGGCUAUGUUAAAUCUUCUUUUUUUGGGGCUUUUCAUGAAGUUUAUCUGGGAAGCAUUCUUCAUUAGAUUCUUUGGUGAAGUUGGCACUCGAAUAAACUUUUGACAUUCCCUAUGUUAGAAACUACAAGAUUAUGAAAUAAGGGAGACAUUGACCCUGUUUGGGCAACAUAUUUGUUUUGUGUUUUCAAGUUAUAAUCCUCAAGUUAAUCUAAACAUUAUAGCUUGUGUAAUUAUGCAAUGAAAACUUACAAUAAUACCCUAAAUCAAAUUUAUUGUUUCUUUUCUUCUCACUUAAUUUAUUUCUUAUUUGCAACUUGUAAGAAUUGAAGUCAGCUAAUAAGCUUAUGUUGUAAAUAGUAAUGAAUUAUUGGGAAUGUGAGAUGAAGCAUAUUAAAAGAUUUUCAUGAAAUCCUUUCCCUCAUUUUUCUUUUAUGUCUUCAUCAAAUGUUUUUAAGAAUCUAUUUGAGCAUAAACUAUCCUAAGUUAUAAAACAAAUACUAAUCGAAUAAAUUUCACUAUUACACAUCUAAAAAGUACUCGAAAGAAAAGAUUCAAUAUUACAUCAAUUUUGAAAUUUUUGCAUACCUGUUGAAUCGAGCUAGAAGAGGAACCACUCAUCGUUUCUUCUUUGGAGGAAUAAAUAAAACAAAAUUCUUUUGGUUUCUUCUUUCGAGGAAUUCAAAUGGAUUUAAAUAAUGAAGGUACUAAACAAAAGGUAAAAGAGACAGGUCUCAUUUAAUGCAGUUGGAGAUUAUCAUAAUCAGAUUAUAACAUAUGAUGGCUACCAUAAUUUGAUUUUGAUAAUCUCAAGCCUCAUCAAAUAAGGCCUUUAUAUGUUUGCCUUUUCCUUUUGCACAUUAUUGCUUAUUUGAUGAGGCUUGAGAAUCAAAAUCAAAUUAUUAUAAUUUGAUUGUGAUAACCUCCAGUAGAAUUAAAAGAGACCUUUAUCCUUUUUCCUUUUGUACCUUUAUUAUUUAAAUCGAUCCGAAUUUUAUUCUAUUCAUUCCUUCAAAGAAGAAACGCAAAUAAUUUUAUUGUAUUCAUCCCUCCAAAGAUGAAACGACGAGUGAUUCCUCUUCUGGAUCGAUUCAAUAUGUAUGCAAAAAAAUUUAAACUUAAAUGUAAUACUGAAAAUUUCUUUUGAGCAAUGUUCUAAAAGGCGCUAGGCAGGAGGCAGACGGCUGGGGGGGCUAGCGCCAGGGGGACCUAGGCGGAAUUUUUUAUUUUAAGCUAAUUUUAAUAUUUUAUCUUAUAGUUAUCUAAAUAAAAUAAUAAUAUAAAGCAAAACAAUCUAUAAUAAAGGCCUUUGCUUAAAGUUCAAACACAUAUCUUUAACGUAUUAGUUUUAUUCAUAAACAAGAUUGUUAUUAAAUAAUAAAAUUUAAAAUUUCAAGAAUUUAAUUCAAUAUUAAAAUUUAAGAAACAAAACAUAAAUUUAAGAAUUAUAUUGAAUUAAACUAAAUAUUACAAAUGUAUCAUUAUUUAUAUAAUUUGAAAUUGAUACAAGUUCAAAAAAUUAUAACUAUAAUAAAAUUAUCCAUUUUGACUUGAUCUUGUUCACUUUUUGUUAUGAUUUGAUAUGUUACAACCUGCAUUAUGAAUAUGGUAAAUCAUUAGAAAAAUAAAUGUAUCAAGAUCUGAUUUGGGUAAUUAUUAAAAAAAAACCUCUACGUCUAGGUCCGCCUGCGCGCCUAGGCCACGAAUAAAUUUCUGGAGAGAUUUUUUGGCUUAGGCGAGGUGCCAGGGGGGCCUAGCGCCUAAGCGCCGUUUAGACCACUUUUUAGAACACUGCUUUUGAGUAUGUUUUAGGCAUGAACUAACUAGUAAAAUUUUUCGACUAGUGUUUGUUUUAUAACUUAAGAUGGUUUAUACUCAAUAGGUUUUUAACAAGAUUUGUUAAAGGCAAAAAUAAAAAUGAGGGAAAGAACUUUAAUUGUUUUUCAUAUAAAACUUUUGAUAUGCUUCCCCGCACAUUCCCAAUGUUUCAUCACUAUUUACAACACAAGCUUAUUAGCUCAAUUAAUUUUUACAAUAAAGUGAGCAAUUAAGUGAGAAUAAGCAAUAAAUUUGAUUUAUGGUAUUCGCUUAAGUUUGAAGAAUUCAUUGCAUAAUUGUCCAAUCACCCUCAGAAAUCUGAGGAUUAUACCUUAUUUGUGUAAGUUGUAUUAAACACUACAAUGUUGGGUUAUUUUAAGCUAUAAACUCUAGUACAAAUUAGUUGCACAAACAACCACAUAUUAUAGUUUUUCUUUCUUGUAGAAGGUAAAUAAAGUGAGAAGGGGAUAUGCUAUUUUUUUGGGGGGCCUAAGGAAUGACUUUGUACUAGUUUUUCCCUUUAAUCUUCUUUGGGGCCUUUAGGUUUAGGAGUGCUACACUGCCCUAGGGAUGCAUUUAUCUCUCAUAAUUCCUUUCCUUUGACCGAAUUUGAAAACCUAUCAAAUAGUAUAUAUGUGAAAUAAAUGCGGAAAGAAAAUUCAUUUUAUUGUUGAAACUUUUUAGUGUAGUGACGUUAUAUGACUUGGGUAGUGUUUGAUAGCCUCUUAUUGCCUCUUUUUGGCCUUAUAUCUUUUUCGCACAGAGGCUAUAUUGUUUAAUAAAAAAAAAAUUCAACCUCUUUUUGCCUAUUAAAAAAAACAUUGAAAAAUAGAAUAAGAGGCUCUUCAUUACUAUUUAUUCUUACUAUCUUAAUUUCAUAUUUUUAAUUAUUUACUCACUUGUCUCGCUACACCAGCCACCAUCACCCACAACCACCCACCACCACAAUCCACCACCAGGCAGAACCACCCAUCAUCCACCAUACCGCUCACCACUGCCACCACCAUAGCCCACCAUCCACCACCACCAUUAGCAUAUUUUAUAAUAAUUAUGUAAAAUUGUCAUAACUAUUUAAUGUUUAUUAUACUUGAAAUAUUUUACUAGUUAUACAUUUUUGGUGAUUUUGUUUAAAUUAAUUAUUUAAUAUUUAUUAUAAUUUUAUCCUCACUUUAAGUUUGUAUAAACUGAUAUAAAGGUAAAUUAGUAAAAUGUUAUAUUCAGACAAACAAAAAAGAUGUAUCAAACAACUCUAUUUCAUUUCAUCUCUGUUUUAAAAAGAGUACUUUAUACAGAGCCUCUAUUUUAAUAAAUUAGUUUUAUCAAACACUACCUUAUUAUUUCACAUUUAUAUAUUUUUAUUAAAGUAAAAUAUGCUGCCUUCCUUUGCCAUUAAUUGACCUCUUUUUUUUUUUUGCCUUGGUAGGAAGUCUGAAAUUGAUUGAACAUCUUCAUUUUAUUUCAAUUCAAAGCAUUAUCGACCCCGCAAUCCAUUUAAAUAAGAUUAUAUGACUCGCUUUUGCUCCAAUUAAAAUCUUUGUGGACACUAUACAAUUCUUAAAUUACGUUACAUCUUCUUAGGUUCAAUUACUGUUUACAGAGGGAAGGAGGGACUAUUAGAGAAACAUUUUGGUAAAUAUUGUAGAGCUUUUUUUGGUACCAUUAAACUUCAAUACAUUCAAAUGUGGGGGUGGGCAAUUGUAGAGAAAUUUUAAGAUAUUAAUCAUAAUAAAAUUAGGUAGAUAAGUGGUAAAUGGUAAUCAUGGCUUCAGAUGCCUUAUAUUCAUUGUUUUCUAGUGGAUUAAAUACUUUUAAAUGGGUUUGCAUCGAGACAACGAGAAAAAGUUGUGUUUACAGUAGUGAUGAACUCGUAUCAGCUGUCCUUCUCAAAUACCACACUGAAGAAUUCAUAGUCUUAAUGACGUUAGUGAUUUCUUAUUGACUUGAUGCAUAACUUUUGACUAGUGCCUGAUCCACAGAGUUUUAGCAUGUUAUCUUAUUUAAGUAGCAGCUUACUAGAGUUCUACGUUGCACUGGUGUUAACCGUGUUAUCAUGCUAUCUAAUUUGGUGGUUAUCCUCUAAAAACUAAUAUUAGACACUUCGAAGUUAGACCCCCACAUUCUACACAAUGGAUCAAAUUGGUCAACUAGUCAACGAAAUUUUCUUACAAAGAUCAAUUUAUACUCAAAUUUUGUAAUAAAAGUUUUUAAAAAGUCAUAUUCGAUAGUUCGCAAAUCUGAAAUUGGAUUUGGGGGUUCGGCAAAUGUUUACAAAUAUUAAAUAGAUUUAUAUAUAGAUAUAAAUAUGAUUAUAUAUAUUUGUAUGUAUAUACACACACAUUAAAAUUUCAGUACCAAUAAAUAAUAAUUCAUAAUAGAAUGUUGAAAUAUUCAAGACAAACAAAGUUGUUUAUGCUAAUUCUAUUUAGAAAAACAGAAAAUAUAUAGAAUUAGUAUAUAAAACAUUAUAAUAAUAGUAUAGUAAUAUAUUCAAUUUUUAUCAUCUAGAAAAAAUACUGAAGAAUCCUUCUGAAGAAUCUUGCCAAAUCUAGAAGAAUCCAAGAAUUCCUGAAUGAGUUUGGCAAUUCGCUAAUCUACCGAAGAACGGUUGUUUCCUAAUAAAAAUCGAAGUGACUUAUCUACGAAAUACAUAAAUAAAUUUGUAAUAUCAUUAUAUAUAUAUAAUGUAUCCAAUUUUUUGUUCAUUCAAUCUGGAGGAAGAAUGCCUGGUGAUAAUAGCCGUUGUUUUCUUUCAAAAUAAUAAAGUUGCAAAAGGAUUUAUUAAGGAGAUAAUGUCCUCGUAUAGUGCAACUGGAUAUUACAACAAUCAGAUUAUGACAUACUUAUUAUUUUGUAAGCUCAUUUGUUUUUAACUUUUUAUAACGUUGAAACCUCAAAAUGCAAUAGACUUACCACCGGGAGCACACAAUAUUCCACAAACCACGCACGCCGGUAAGUUCAUAGUAAACUCUGUUUUGGUGGCUCCAAAGGAUGACAUGCUGAUUAUUAACAAUUAGAAUAUGAAAAUUUUAAAUAUGAUAAUCAAAUUAUUGACCAUUAAAUUAUUUAGAGGCUAUUCUGAUAAAUUUUUAAAAAAUUAGACGCUUGCACAAUUUAUAGUGUGAUAUUUACCUUUUAAAAACUCUGCGUAUGACUUAUUGCAUAGCUACUAAAGGUUGAGUCAGGUGUUGCAAUAUAAUUAUAAAUAAUUAGCUCUCUCUUAUUAAAAUGAACCAAUAAUGUGAAGCCUUAUUGUUUUUUUUUUAAUACUUUUUUGCUAUCAUUUGGGCUCAUUGCAGCCUACUCCAACUAGUUUGGGUUAAAAAGUUGAGUUGAGUUUCAGUUGAGUUGAGUAAUCCUGUAAGCAAUAUGUGGAUUAAGCAUAUUAUAUGUUUUAUUGUAAAUUAUUUGUAUAAAUUGGCUAAACACAACUAUGCGAGCUUAUAGUUAAACUAGAAGUUGUAAUGUGAUACAAUAUAAGUUUCACCAAACAUAAACAUAAAAUAAUUUUUCUUAGUCUGUAUAAGUACUACAUUAAAUAUUUAAUUUUUAUUAUUUAUUCUUUAAGUGAAGAGAUGGAGUUCGAAAUCCUAAGAUCCUUUGCCUAUGAUGUCCUUUGACUUGUAUAUAUUAUUAGCAGAGUUCCCAUUUAAAGUGUGGUCAACACAUCUCAGCAUAGUAGCUAAACUAGAUUUCACUUCAUUCACUGAUUUCACAAAUUUCAAUCAAGUAAUCAUAGAGGUCACUUUCUACUUACGCAUUUAACUACAAACAAUAGGUGAGUUAGGGGAUAAUAAGUUUGAGGUAAUCCGCUUGUAUAGCACAACCUCCGUUUCAAUAUUAGAGAUGCAUUUUUCUAGGGCAGUGUAUUCUUGACCAUGGUGCAGUUUUUUUCUACUUAUCGAAAUUGAGUGCACAGGAUUAUGUUGUGCCUAUACUGAAUUGCAACGCAACUCAACUAGGGGCUGCAAAUGAACCCAUAUGAAAACCAAAAAGUAAAAGGCAAUAUGGGUUUCACAUGGGUUAAUUUUUACAAGCUAAGUUUUAUAUCCACCUUUUACGUGACUAACAUCGGAUACAACACUCCUUUAUCCUAGCCUGAAAUGGCCACACAAGAAGCAUAAUCGGAGUUUUUAAAGGGUGCCACACUAUAAUAUGUGCAGUCAUCUAAUUAAUCUUUUUGAAUUUUUUAUAAUAUCCUAAAUAAUUUAGUUGUUAAUAAUUUGAUUAUCAUAAUCAAUUUUCAAUAGUCUGGUUGUAACAACUUGUAUCUUUUGGGACCACCCAAACAUAGUUUACUAUGGGCUUAGCCGAUGGGCGUAGUUUGUGGUAAGGUCGACCCAUUGCACAUCUCCACCGGCAAAAUAAAUAAAAACUAAUCAAAUUGUCAUAAUCAUAUGAUUAAGUACGAUUGUUUUAAUAUACGGGGUCUUUAUCUCUUUAACCAAAGUCCUUUUGUAACUUCAUUGUUUUCAAUUGAUGGUUAUCCUGCCAGCUAUUCCUCCUCGAGAUUGAUUCAACAUGUACAAAUUUUUGACACAUUAUAUUUAAUAUUGCAAAUUUGUUUAUGUAUUUCUUAGAUAAGUAUGAGAUAUAUCAUGCAUUCAUCAAUUUUCCCAGUACAAAUUUGAGUAUAAACUGAUCAACUGUCUUGUAAAAAAAAAUUCUUUGACCAGUUGACUUAUAUGGUGUGCCUAUAUUCUUCUAUAAUCCUGGCAACAUGCAGGCAGCUUGUAAAAAAAAUCUUUGACCAGUUGACUUACAUGUUAUCAGCUUGGUUUUUUUCUUCUUUAUUAUUAUUCUGUAUAUGAAGUUCUCUGUGUUUUGUUUAUUUUCUCAUUUUAUUGUUGAGCCUUGAUACCGUGGUCGUGGAGUUGAGUUUUGUUUGUAACCAACAAAUGUGCUUGCUGAUGUGGCCAAGGACUGCAAAUUUAGAAGCUUGCUGAUGAUGAUGCUCCCAGUGCCCCUUCAUUAGCUGGUUUUGCCCGGGGAUCAAUCAAGUUGCUGAAGAGAUUUUGAUUUUAGAGGAAAUGGUACACCUUGCCCUGAAAGCUCAAGGGGUUUUGCACUUACAGAUGAAGCAAAUGUGACCAAAAUUUUAUUCCACUAUGGAUGGUACUGCAAACAGAAUUAUGUCCCACUAUUAUGUAUGUGUUGAUUUUAUUUUUUGGAUUUACUUUUAUAGAGUUCAUUGGAGAAUUUUGAACAACUGAAGUUGCUUCUUUAUGCCUCACGGGACGGACUGGUGCUGUUUCUUCCAUCCCUCCGCCAGCUCAUUUUCCACAUUUCAUGCUAGGUAGAAACUAGUUAUGUUGAAUUUCUCCAUCCAUAUCUUGUCAUAAACUGGCCCAACCAAUUUAUCUAUUUACUUGAUAUAUGGCUGAUUCUUAUAUGAUAAGUUGCCUUGAUACAUCUCAUUCCUUGUCUAAAAUUUUCUUCUUGCUGUACAGCUUACUUGGUAAGACCUGAUUCAUGUCAACUAAAAGGCUGGAGAAUGUCCUAAUUUUGGACUUAAAACAGCUAUUUCAACCCUAAUGUCUAGACAAAAGCUUGGAUUAUGCUCUGGCUUAACUGCAGUAGUCAAUUGGUUAGGCACGAGGUUGGUUAUCAACAUUCAAUUUCAUCAUUCAUGAUAAACCGCUCUAUAUCAGAAAUAUCUAAAGUUUUUCCUCUUAUGGAUAUGUUAUUAAGUAAUGUGAUUUUCCAACUUAUAUUAUGGUCUAUUUUUGAUAGGUCACCUUGGGAUUGAAACAGUCAGGCAUCGUCAGCAGGUAACUUGGUAUGAUGAGCAAAUUGAUUUUUGGUUUUCAUGGAGUCAGUCAACAAGAGGUAGCUGUAGUGGUGCUUGAUAGGUAGUGGAUUAUUAUUUCUCCUGUAUUUGUUUUUGACAAAUAUUUUAUACUGUUUUUAAUUUAAAUCACUAAAUAUGAACAUAAAUAUUUAUAAAAUAUUGAAUAUUAUUACAUACACCCUUUGUUCCACAAAAAGAGUUACAUUAUCCAAAUAUGUAAACUUUUAAGGAUGUUUUGUUAGUUUAAUAGUCUUGUCAUGAUAAUGAAAAUAUGGUUCUAAACUUGAGAAAAUUAUGUCCUUUUAUAUGAUGACUUAUCAAAAAAUUAAUAAAUAGGACAUGUUGUGGACAUAGAUCCUGGGUGAG